This 428-nucleotide ribosomal RNA is filed under the name uncultured bacterium. Its description in RNAcentral is "partial 16S ribosomal RNA". It matches the Rfam family "Bacterial small subunit ribosomal RNA", at positions 354 to 796 of the family's 1533-position model. The record is from RNAcentral.
GUGGGGAAUAUUGGGCAAUGGGCGAAAGCCUGACCCAGCAACGCCGCGUGAAGGAAGAAGGCUUUCGGGUUGUAAACUUCUUUUGUCAGGGACGAAAAAAAUGACGGUACCUGACGAAUAAGUCACGGCUAACUACGUGCCAGCAGCCGCGGUAAUACGUAGGUGGCAAGCGUUAUCCGGAUUUACUGGGUGUAAAGGGCGUGUAGGCGGGAAAGCAAGUCAGAUGUGAAAACUAUGGGCUCAACCCAUAGCCUGCAUUUGAAACUGUUUUUCUUGAGUACUGGAGAGGCAGAUGGAAUUCCUAGUGUAGCGGUGAAAUGCGUAGAUAUUAGGAGGAACACCAGUGGCGAAGGCGAUCUGCUGGACAGCAACUGACGCUGAGGCGCGAAAGCGUGGGGAGCAAACAGGAUUAGAAACCCUAGUAGUCC